CCUACGGGUGGCAGCAGUGAGGAAUAUUGGUCAAUGGGCGAGAGCCUGAACCAGCCAAGUCGCGUGAGGGAGUACUGCCCUAUGGGUUGUAAAUCUCUUUUGUCGGGGAGCACAAGCCGGACGUGUACGGCUGUGAGAGUACCCGACGAAAAAGCAUCGGCUAACUCCGUGCCAGCGGCCGCGGUACUACGGGGGAUGCGAGCGUUAUCCGGAUUUAUUGGGGUGAAAGGGUGGGCAGGGGGAUUUUUAAGUGCGCGGGAAAAUCGUGGGGGUCACACCCAUCCAGCCGUUGAAACUGGGGAUCUAGAGUGUGCGAGAGGUAUGCGGAAUGCGUGGUGUAGCGGUGAAAUGCAUAGAUAUCACGCAGAACCCCGAUUGCGAAGGCAGCAUACCGGUGCACAACUGACGCUCAGGCACGAAAGCGUGGGUAUCGAACAGGAUUAGAUACCCCAGUAGUC
RNAcentral lists this ribosomal RNA (458 nucleotides) under uncultured bacterium. RNAcentral's name for it is "partial 16S ribosomal RNA". It matches the Rfam family "Bacterial small subunit ribosomal RNA", at positions 338 to 795 of the family's 1533-position model. The record is from RNAcentral.